GAUGCUAUCCAUGCCCUUGAGAUGCAGCUGACGAACAAGAGGAUUCUGAGGAGGUAGUAGGAGCGUCCAAUAUGGACGUUGAAGAUGGCGAUGCCCCUUGUCCGACUCAUAGUGUUCCCUCAGUCGGCAACCUAGAUAACUUUUAGGUUGAGAACUGUAGGAAGCUAAUCUUUUGUUGUACUCCUCGGCAACCUAAGUUUUGGGUAGCAAUGUAAUAGGUUAGCCUUGAGUUGAG
RNAcentral lists this long non-coding RNA (235 nucleotides) under Setaria italica (foxtail millet). RNAcentral's name for it is "long non-coding RNA (SITA_LNC004966)". The record is from RNAcentral. Lineage: Eukaryota; Viridiplantae; Streptophyta; Magnoliopsida; Poales; Poaceae.